This 492-nucleotide ribosomal RNA is filed under the name uncultured bacterium. Its description in RNAcentral is "partial 16S ribosomal RNA". It matches the Rfam family "Bacterial small subunit ribosomal RNA", at positions 29 to 507 of the family's 1533-position model. The record is from RNAcentral.
AGUGAACGCUGGCGGUAGGCCUAACACAUGCAAGUCGAACGGCAGCACAGUAAGAGCUUGCUCUUACGGGUGGCGAGUGGCGGACGGGUGAGGAAUACAUCGGAAUCUACUUUUUCGUGGGGGAUAACGUAGGGAAACUUACGCUAAUACCGCAUACGACCUACGGGUGAAAGCAGGGGAUCUUCGGACCUUGCGCGAUUGAAUGAGCCGAUGUCGGAUUAGCUAGUUGGCGGGGUAAAGGCCCACCAAGGCGACGAUCCGUAGCUGGUCUGAGAGGAUGAUCAGCCACACUGGGACUGAGACACGGUCGAGACUCCUACGGGAGGCAGCAGUGGGGUAUAUUGGACAAAUGGCGAAAGCCUGAUCCAGCGAUACCGCGUGAGUGAAGAAGGCCUUCGGGUUGUAAAGGCCUUUUGUUGGGAAGAAAAAGCAGCUGGUUAAUACCCCGCUGUUCUGACGGUACCCGGAGAAUAAGCUCCGGCUAACUUCGUG